CGAAAAACCCACCCUGGGAGGAAGGUGAAGCUCGCUUCUCCCACCCCUGAGUUACUCAUCGGUCUGAAUCACACCUCCCUGGGCACACCAUGGCUCAGAGGCGGCUCCAGGUUCAUGGGAAUUCAUGUGUUUCCAUAUGGAACCCGAGAAGUCAUUAUGUGGUGCUUGAACAAGAGCAAACAGCACCUUCGAUUUGCACCACCAACUUCGUAAGUGAUAACUAAGCCCCUUAUGCUCUCAUAAGGUAUACUCUUUUUUUACUUAUCAUAAAGGAAAAAAAAAAAAAAANNNNNAAAAAAAAAAAAAAAAAAAAAAGGUAUAAAUUUUGCUCCUAGCUACACUGCAAAUCAAUUGCAAUUAGAAACUUAAAAGCACUCGUUCAAUUUCAUCUCCCAGCUGCUAAACACGGAUGCUUUAGACACCCCCCACCCCCCCAAAGCCGAGCUCUGUUUAGGAUUACAGCCGAACAGAGCAGAGGAGCCGAGCCAGGUCCCCGGCUCCAGCCCCGUGCAGAGGGUCACCCAGGAAUCAGUUUUCAUGGGUGUUCGGGAGCUGUUUGGGAAACACCACAUAAGGCAUCACACACCGGCACCUCAUUUUGCUGCACUCCGGUGGGAAAAGGGCAUUUCCUUGCACAUUGGAGCUCUGCCAUUGAUGCGGUGAAGUUUUAUGACGAGACAGUGGAGCAAAAAAAGGGAAAUUUAAGCAGUUUCAGCGGAGGAGGGCGAGGCGGCCCAGCCUCCCACGGGCACUCGUGGCGGCACAGCUCCGGUAAGUGCUUCGCACGCACUUCGAGAGAGCCACGAGGAAACACGAGGGGAGCCUGGGCAGCACCACCGCCCCGUGUGCUUGGGGCUGCCGGAGAGGAACGAGACGGUCACCUACGCCAACCCACUCCCACGGGGACCGCGGGUGGGAAAAAGGGCUCGGCGGCUGCGGGGGCUCAGCCCCCCACGCGGCUUCUCGCAGCGCCUGCCGCGACGCCCCCCCGCGUGGGUCAGCGCCGUGGAAGUCGCCUAAAAGCGCUGCCCGGGCGGAGCUGGCCACCGGCCGCCCACGCCACGCGGCAGGGGGGGACACGGACACGCGUGGCCGCUCGCCAGGCGCUGCCCGGCGGGACGGGCCCCGCACCCCGCACCCCGCCCGGCACGGGGCGCUGCCCGCGCCACCCCCCCGUCGCGGGCGGCCCGCACCGAGUGGGCAGCGCACCCCACGCGCGGGGGCCAAGCCGGUGAGGCCGCCCUGCGCUCCCGCUCGGGGGGUGGGGGGACGACCCCCACCCACGCACCCCGGCCCCCCCGGGCAAC
This 1307-nucleotide long non-coding RNA is filed under the name Falco tinnunculus (common kestrel). Its description in RNAcentral is "lncRNA (ENSFTIG00000006199.1)". Lineage: Eukaryota; Metazoa; Chordata; Aves; Falconiformes; Falconidae. The record is from RNAcentral.